UUUUUUUUUUUUUUUUUUUUUGUAAAAAAUGACCAUGAAAAUGUUUGAAAAAAAUCUGUUUCAUCUCACUUGAUCCAAAAAAAAAAAGAAUUUUUAAAAUGAAAAGGACAUUAAACAAUAAAAAGAUUCGCACAUCUACCUCACUCUAAUACUUGAAAAAAUUAUAUGAUUUAAAAGUUUUUUAAAAAAAUCAAUUAAUUUUGUGAAGAAUAAUGUCAAUUAGUAACAUCGCCAAAAUUUGAAGUAACCAAUAUUUGGGACAUUUUUCGGGUAUCUAGCUAUUGAUUUGUUAAGCCAAAAUGACAUAGCAAUCCAUAUAUAGGACCCAGGCCUUUCUUUAUAAGAUUAAACCUUCCUACAUUAACAGUAUUAAUAAUUUAUAUAUUAUCAGUUUUAGAUGAAUGAUAAUUAUAUAAAAUUUUAAUUUGAAAUUCAUCUUCUUCUCUGAAAAAAUUCAAAGUGAGUCUGAAAUUCAACCUACAAGUGUUGUGGUAUAUUGUAUUUUGAUCGUUUUAGUGCAUAAUUCAAGGUUAAUUAGGUCUGUUACGAUGCCAUACCAACCAAUAAGAUUGGUUACAUACAGCCGAAUGAACCCAAAAAAAAAAAAAAUCCAAUGAAGGAAACUUGCUAAAGAAGAAGAAACCUGCACAUGUACAUACUCUUGGAAAUUGUGGCUUGUCUGUCAAUGUUCACUGCACGUACUCUUGAAAAUUGUGCACUGCCAAUUUCCUUCAGACGGCUAGCCAUUUUUUUGUUUUUAUUGCUUUUUCUUUUGGCCACUGCUGCCAAGGUCACGGCUUAUGACACUCAAUUACUCAUCAAUCGCCCAAUUGCAUUUGGUCCGCCUAAUAAUUGUAGGUUCACUUGCCUAAAAGUGCCUAAAAUGGCAUAUCUUCAAGGAGCUAAUGAGUGUCUGUGCCCACUUGGUAACAAUAAAUUUCUGAGAGAUCGAUGGCAGCUUAAAAGAGCAAGGCCUUUAAUAAACUUUUUCUACUGUUUCUAAUAAUUUCAGCCACCUCCUCUAAAGUUUCAAUAAUUACAAAAAUCUCCCUUACAAAGUAUGACUAGGUAACCGUUGAUGAUAUAAGUAGAAAAAAAGUCUAAUCAACACCCCGUAGGCUCAAUCUCAUUUCUUAAAAAAUUGAUGGGAUUUGAUGAUUACAUUAUUGGGAAUAUAAUUCAAUGCGGAUGAUGAAUUUGAUAUUUAGCAAAAAGAUAAUAAGCUGGUUACAUUUAACAAGAUAAGGAUGCGAUUGGGACUUGAAAGCUGCUCGUUGUAAAUGAAGAUCACUAGUGAGGGGUUUGUGUGUACAUGUGUGUGUGUGUAUAUAUAUAUAUAUAUAUAUAUAUAUAUAUAGCUAACUAAAAAGCAAAAGGUAGUUUAGGAGAAUCUUUAUAUUAUGCUUUAAGUUUUUUGUAAAAGCUGUUUAUAGAGAGAUCAAUAUUUUAUGAGGAGAUCAAGAUUUUAUGAAGGCUACAUAGUUUUUGCUUAAUACCAAGGGAGAUUAGUGUAGAUUUUCAAACUUCAAGGGAGAAGUGGUUGAAACUAUUUGAAAACCUGAGGGGAGAUUUUUGAAAUUGACCCAAUUUAAAAUCAUUCCAUAAAAUUAAGGGACAAUUUCAAGAACCUCUUAUUAGUUUUCUAACAAUGUCACUUACUACCCCUGAAGUUUAUAAAAUAUCACCUGCUUCCCAUAUUUUCAAAAUUUUCUAACGUUCUCAACCCAAUUCAAAUUAUAUGAUUAAAAUACUAUGUAUAGGAAAGAGAAAAUUAUUUCAAUCCAAAGUUGCUCUUUUGUUGUGGUUCCUUAGUUAUAAUGAUAAAUCAAUUUAAAAUCUCUUGACAUUUGAAAACUUGAUGAAUGUGUUCUUCAACGAAAAACUAUAAGUUUGAGAUUGAGAGAUCCUUUAACAAAUAUUAUUUAUAAUUGGAGUCAAAAUCUAAUAUUGACAAAUUAUAAAUAAUUAACAAAGCGUGUAAAAACUAUUUGUAAUAUUGUAAAGAUGAAGAAAAUAACUUUUUUCACCUUUGAAGCAUCUCCAAUAAGUUUUAAAUGUAAAUUUAAACAUUUUCUUCUUUUCUAAUUUUCAAGUCAUCGAUCUAGGCAAAUAAAAAUUUAAGAUUUUAAUUAGUUUAUAAAUUCUCUCAAAAUAUUUUACAUAAAAAGAAAGGUUUUCCUCAUUUGAUAAUCUAAGGGAACACAAUAAGCAUAUGGAUAAAUGAAAAUGGCAGAAUAUUGAACUUUUAAAAUCAUAGAUAACCCCCAAAUUGCAACACUUUUGCAAAAGAAAUCUAUACUUUUGCAAAACAAAAAUAAUAACAAUAAUAUCAUAUUUAUUUCUUUUUAUAUGACAUUAAAGUAUCAAAUAGACAAACAUUAAUGGAUAAAAAAUCCUUUUGUAAUUUGAAAACAUGUUAAAUAAAAUUUUAUCAUUUGCUUAUAAUUUAGAAAAGCAUAUUGUUCAUGGUUGCGGCAACUAUAUUUUGCCCCUUUAAAAAUAGCAUAUCUUCAUGCUUUUUGUCUUUAAUUUUAACAUUUGAUUUUUCAUGCUUACAAUUUUAAAAAAAAAAGUAAGGCAAUAAAAAGGCAUUGUUGGAAAGAAAUCAUUUUCUCUAGUGAGUAUUUUAAUGAUAUAAUUUGAAUUGGAUUGUAAAAAUUACAAAAAUUUUAAAAUAGGGAAGGCAAGUGAUAUUUUUAAAGCUUCAAGGGUGUUAAGUGAAACUAUUUUUUUUAAAAAAAAAGAAGGUAGAAAGCAUUUUAGGAUAUUCCUUUUUGUGUGCUUUUAGUGUUCUGUAAAAGCUCCUUAUGAGGAGAUCAACAUUUUAUGAAGUCUAUAUAGUCUUUGCAUAAUACUAAGGGAGAUUACUGUGGAUUUUCAAACUUCAAGGGAAGUGGUUGAAGCUGCUUGAAAACCUGUGGGGUGAUUGCUGAAAUUAUUCCAUCAUCCGAAGGGGCCCUAUAAUUUACAAAAAUUUUCUACAAUUUUGACAAUAAGUGAUAGUAAUAUUUUAUAUAAACAUCCAAUAAACCCAUCAUCCAAGCAGGCCUUAUAAUUUAGGACAAAUAAAUCAUGUAUUUCCUAAGAUUAAGGUCUCAAGAAUUAGAGGUUUUGAAUUUUAAUUCUUCUACCCCUCUCCGCUUCUUAAAUCUUAUUCUUCCCUGUUAGAAAAAAUUAAAAAUAAGUCAUGAUUUUUAUUUUGCUUCUGUUUGUUUAAAAGACAAAUAAUCCUAUUGCAAGAAUUGGUAACUAGUGUGAACAAACCGGCGAAGACGUUAGAAGAUGACUCUGGUUUUGUCAGAGGCCGGGUCUUCAUCUUUAUGUGGUCCAAUUGUGGAGACCAAUUAGUGUCUGACAUGGAUAAAUAGAGGUAGAAAAUCAAAUUAAAAGCCGUUGUACGUUUUUCCUCCAAAAAUUUUGUACGUUUUCGCGUGCACAUAUAUUUCGAUUAUUUUUUAUUUUACAUAUAUUAAAUUAUUACAUUAAUUUUUUUAAAAAACACUUUGGAAAAUAGCAAUGCAAACAAACUCUUUUUCUUCGGUUUAGAAAACCAAAAUAAAAAUGAUUUUCUUAUUCUUGACCUUGGAACUCUUUUGCGGCACUGAGCCUACAAUCUUUUGCACUCAAAAUAGAAAAGUUAGGAGAUGAAAAGGGUCUAUCUUGGAACGUUCCUUUUUUUUUUUUUUUUUUGCUUUCUUUUGGAUUAAAACAGAAUUUUAUUACAUGAAUAUACACUAAUAGCAAAAAACAUGUGAUAGAUACCUUUUUUCUUUUGUCUACACGAUAGUUUCUAUUUUAUAUCUACUUCUACUCUAUGCUAGGGGGAGAGGGUGGGCUCAAAUGAAUCAAAGAAGAAUUCGAAGGGGACUAAAACACAAUCGAAUCAGACGGGUACCUCUGUAAUCGCUGGUCAAACUUUUAGAAAAUCUUGGAGAUGAAUGUAUAUCAAGGGAUCAAAAUCCCUUGACCUGUAAAGCUCUCCUUGAUGACCUACUACCCAGUUAUAACAGAUACAAUUGAGGUAAACUUGCUAUGGAAGAAACCUAUAAUUGUCUUCACCUCAUUUAAUAUAAUCGGACAUAUGAAGCCACUCGGAUAUGGGGCACAAAUGGUCAUUAGAAGAACCGUUCAGGAGUAAUCUUCUCACAUCGCCAAACAAGAGGUCCAGCAAAUGUCACAUCACCAAGGAAUAACCAAAGCCAAAAUGAACUUGUUUCAAUUGGUUAGGCUAAUAAACAAAAAUAAAAGGGAUUGUUUACUCUAAUAGACUCCGUUAGAGCCAAAAGGGUUUUUCAAAAUUUCAAUUUUUGAAAUGAAUUUUUUGAUUUGGAUUGUGACUUUGAAAUGAAACGCGAGAAAAAUCACCUACCAUAAUAUUGAACAAAACACCAUUCUCUAUCUAGCUAGGAAAGGAAAAAAUUAGUAGAGAGAUAAACUUGUAUACAUUAAGUUUUGGGGGGGAAGAGGUGGGGAGAGAGGGAAUCUAUUGGAAGAAGAUGUGAGAGGAAAUUUGAACUGAAGAAGAAAGGUGCGCUUUGUCUCUCAUAUGUUAGAGGUGGAUUUCAGCUAUAGAAUCAUAAAGAAAAAAGCUACAAUAAUUUUGUACCACACAAUAUUUUGACCACCAAGCAUAUUGAGGGUGAUAUGAAAUAGAGAAGAUACCAAAUAUAGCUAUAUGUGUCUCCAAAAAAUUUGGUAAAGUGAACAGCGGUUUGAAACAAACCACAUACAGCAUGGUGGUCAAGCACAAUGCAGGAGUCCAAUGAAGAUAAUGACACUAACCUAUUUAUUGAAUUGUCGUUACUUGUAGGCUCAAAGAUAUACAAUUGUAAUAGACAAAAGAAAUCAUUUUGUAAAUUUUGUGCAUAAGGACCAUAUGAUAUAUGAUAAGCAAUUAUGUGAUGGCCAAUUAUUGUGUUUAUGUAUUUGUACAAAAAGUGAUGCAAUAGUUACACUAGUUUGGUAUGAGUGCACAUGUGUAAAUUUCAUUACUUGGUCAUCAACCUUUAGAGAGUAUGCACUACCAGAUAUGAUUUAUGAGUAAGUCAUAAGUUAUUAAGUAAGUACAUGGCAUGACAUACAUAAAGAACUAAGCGAUGUACUCGAUGACUGUCAAAGUGUGUAAUUUGUUACUCAUCGAUAAAGAACUAAGUGUACAUAUGGUGUAUGGCUGUGCAUAGUGUGUUUGUCACAAUGUACAUCUUGCUAGGUGAAAAUUACUGUGAGUAGUAUAGUGUAAAAUGGAGAGCAGUGAUAUGCACACCCUUGUACUAGUUGUAGGAGCCUCGAACUCGUGCAACAUCUUGGAUGGGAUUUGCUUUUGCAUGAUUUAGUGCUAAUUUACAUAAUUUACCUCAUGACCAUUGUGUUUUUAGAAGUAUAGACCUUGUGAAUUAAUCAUUGCAGUUUGUUAAUUUGUUAGUAUGAGUACAAUUAAGUUUUCAUCUUUGUCUUUCUUACAUAGUUUGUAUAGCACAAUAAAUGUAGUUAUGUGAGAUGGAUUCCAUUCUAGAAACUUUGGUAUAGUUGAUAUUUAUAUGUUUCUGUAAGUGUGCACAUUGUUAGUGGGUAUGGCUUAGUGUUAUAUGUUUUGUAUGUUGACGUAGUUAUAAAUUUAUAGAAGUUAGCCUAUUGCUUGAAUUUUUAUUUGGUUAUUGGUUCUUAAUUACUGUCAUGUAUAUGGCAUAUAAAGUGAUAAUGAAUUUACUACACUAUUGUUCGUUGGCUACAUGGAGUUCAUAUAGUUGUAUAAUUGGUGUUUGAUUAGCUAUGCCCUAUAUGUAAUUGAUAAUCCUAUAAAACCUUUUCGCACAACCUAUAUACUAAACAAGUCACAUUGUGAUAACUAAUGUACAUAUGGUGAUUUUCAAGAAUUGGAUUUGUGGAAAGAAGCAAGUGGACAAAAGAUGGAACUCCACAAUUAGGAAUGGAAUUUGAUACAGAAGAUAAUGUCUAUAAAUUUUACAACAAAUAUAGUUUUGUCAAGGGUGCAACAUAGUUUUCUUUACAAUCAUCAAAGGUACUUGUUAUGGCUGAUAAGUUGUUGUAAAUGAACCUUUUUCACUCACAAUAUUUUUGUUGCAUUUUGUGAAAAGUUUAGAAUCAAAAGCAAGCUAUACAGUCUCACUAUUAGUCCAAAUAACUUGUAAUUGUAACUUGUUGAAAAAGAUUUGAGUACCAUUCCUAUGCUUAUAUAGCACCCUCCUUUGUUAUGUUUAAUUGACAGUGAUUCGUUUAUUGUGUAGGCUAGUUUAUUACUGUCACUACUACUAGAAGACAGAGGAAUCGCAUCCAACCAGCCAUAAGAACAAUGUUAGCAUUGUAACAUCGGCCAAUAAAUUUUCAUGUAUACACUGCAGUUUACUUCAAUAAGUGGCAUGUAUAUAAAUAUUUAGUGAAUGUAUAAUCUGGUUGAAACAAUGUACACUGUGUAACCGACUAAGUAUGAUGCAUAGAAAUUGUUGAACAUGCUAUUAUUUGUCCACAUGCAUAUUGCUAUUAGUCAUCGCAGUCACAUGCAUAGUGCAAUGAUAUGCAUAUAUUUGGAAUGAUUAUUGGUGCUUUGACCCAUUUGUGCAUCUCCUUGCAGGAUGCAGUAGGUGUGUAAUUUUAUUUGUAUAGCUAAUACUAAUUUGCCUAUAAGCACAUUACACAGGGUGAUCUAUGAGAUACAAUCAAUUUACAAAAAUGUACAACAUCUUAGAUGUUAUUACUUGCUGUGUAUAUCUACAAAAGUAGUACAAUGGUGCACAUAAUUUUGGAAUGGUUGGCCCUUUAAUCAACUAUACAUCUCUUUAUAAUGGAUGUAUAAUUUUACUUGUAUAAGUAGUACUAGUGUGUUUGUGAGUAGAGCUGUUAAUCGAAUUGGGUAACUCGCAAGUUGAGCUCGACUCGGCUCGUUUACUGAGAGAAAUGAGCCGAGCUCGAGUUCAACUUUAGGCUCGUUUAAUAGACGAGUUGAGCUAUGCUCGAUUCAUUUAAACUCGAUAGGCUCGAAUAGUAGAGUUAUUAGCGUCAUUUCAUUGUGUAUUUGAUACUUUUACCUAAUUCAUUCUCCUGUUUCUAGCCCUAAUUUUUUCUUUCCUCUUUUGGUCUUGCCCUAAUGUUCAUCUCCCAAACGAGCUCGAGCUCAAUAAGCUUGGCUUGAUUUUGAACUCGAGUUCGAGUUUUCGAUCGAGUACAUCGAGUCGAUCUCGAACAGCUUGUGAAACUCGAAUUACUAAUCGAGCAAGGUUGAGCUAGUUCGAUUAGAGGUUCGAGUCGAGCUCGAUUAUCAUGUGCUCGAGCUCGACUCAGCUCUAUUUGUGAGCACCUUACACAGGAUAAUCUAUAAGGUACAAUAAGUUUACCAAAAUGUGCAUCAUGUUAGGCGUUAGUUACUUGACUAUGUAUAUUUGUAAAAAGGGGAUUAGAUAUAGCGCAGCAAAAAAUAAUUACGUGAGUUGGAAUGUAUUCUAGAAACUUUGGUAUAGUUGAUAUUAAUAUUUUUUUAUGGAGUGUACAUGUUGUUUGUAGGUAUAGAGUAGUGCUAUAUGUUAUGUAUGCUUACAUGGUCAUAAAUUUACAAAAGUUAAUCUAUUGUUUGAAUUUGUAAUUGGUUGUUAGUCCUUGCACACUAUCAUGUGCAUAAACAUAAUGUAAGAAUGAAUUUACUAUAUAGUUGUUCACUGGUUUCAUAGAGUUCAUACAGGCAUACAAAUUGGGGUUUGAUUACUAUGUCCUGUAUAUAAUUGUUAAUAUAUUAUAUCUUCUUCACCUUAUUUUGCAGCGUGUCAAGAGCAAAGACAGCUUCCUUUGACGAAUCAAUGGAUAUCAAUCAACACUGGUGCAACAAAGAAAUUAGAUUGGAUAAUUAGAUAGUUUCAUUGUGUCAGACUCAUAACACUCAUUAGAAUGUACCUAGUUCUUAAUGCAUUAUCAUAUGUUCAAUCCAUUUUAAAAUGUACAAAAGGCAAAAAGUUAAAUUGCUAAUUUUAGAUUCUGUUUAUUAGUAUUGUAAAUCUAGUUAGUAUUUAAGUAUUGUUUAAGUACUAUUUGUUGUUAAAUAAAGAUUUUUGUUUCACAAAUUGGUGGAAACUAGUUACAUUUGGUUAUUUAUAAGUUACAUACAUGCUGAUUGAACAAAAAUUUAACUAGUCAUCUAUCACUAUCUAUAUCUAUAUGUAUUGCUGAUGGGAUUUUUAGCAGAGACCCUCUCAAUGACUUCCAAACUUCUCAUUCUUUUUUCUAGAUUUUUGUAUUUAUUUUAAUACAUAAAAAGUAGUGGGUUAUAACCAACCCUAUCACCAAUCAAAUUUAAAAUUUAAAACAUUCCCACUAUCUACUUCAUAAACUGUUUAUAGUUUGUUAUUUAUACUUUAAAUCCUUUUUACUUCUUAAUUAAAGACAAAUGUUUAAGAAGUUUAUGCAAAUGAGAUAAAUACUAUAAAUUAAAGACAAAUCCUUUAAAUCGCAAUUAAAAUCCUUUAAAUCCUUUUUACUUCUAUACAAAUGAGAUAAAUACUAUAAAUUUUUAAUAAUAUACACAUUCUAUCAUAUUUCAAACUAUUGUUAGACAGAUAUUAUAUUUUAAUUGCGUUGGUACAAUUUUUUAAACUUUUUUAAUUCAUCCUUUUAUUUUCAUUUUUUUCAAUAAUGUCAUUCACACUUGUUAUGGAAGUAAUGGUUUUAGGUAAAAUUUUAGUUAUCAAUAUAUUAUAAUCUUAAAAAGUAGUAAUUACCCAUCAGCAAAUUUGUAACACCCAAUCAUAGUAUCACUUAUUUCCAUUUUUAUCAAACCUCAAACUAAAAAUCUUAGAAACAUGGUGAUGAUAUCAAUUUUGGCAUAUUUCUAUGAUUUAAUUCCUUUUUGAACAAAUAUCCUUGGGUUUAUUAGGUAUGAUACAUAUAAAAAUAACAUAUACAUAAAAAGAGAUGAUGUGUGAUUUAAAACAAAGAAGGGAUUCCUCAAAAAAAGAUGAAGAAUGAAGGAGCUUGUUAAGUUUAAAAAUAUAACAAAGUGCCUCUUUAUUAGAUAAUUUUAUUAUUUACAAAUAUUUCUAAAAAUUGAAGAAAAAAAUUAAUCAAACGUAUACUUUAGUUAUAACAAUAUGUACAACAAUUAUAAUAGAUAUAUAUAAUGCUUCAACCAAAUCUACAAAUUGAAAAAAAAUCUACGACGAUUACAAUGAUAUCUACAAGGAUUCUUACCUAUCGCUACACAAUAUUUUCUAUAAAUCGAAAUUGAAAAUUUACAAAUGUUGUGAUAAUAAAAAUAUGUAAAAGGAAGGUAAAAGAGUUAUACAAUAGUAGUAUUAGCUGAGUUUCACUUGCUCCAUUUCUUCUUCUCAAGUUGGUUUCUUCUUUUCCUUUCUAAUUAUAAAUGAUGGGAUUGGUUCUGCAAGUUCAGUGGUUCCCCCUAUUUAUAUUUCUUCCUUUUCACUUGGAUUCUUCUUUGUCCUUUUCCAUACCAUCUCGUCAGCCACUGCUCAUGCAAAUUGUAAAGGCUAUUUACUUUGUCCAUACCAUCUCUCUUUUAUCUACCUAAAACCUUGACUAUAUUGUUGAUCUGUUGUUGUUGUUGUUGACAAACACCCCUACAUAUCCCCUAGUAAAGCUCUUUCUACUAAUUGGUUUGAAAGUUUUUUUCUCUAUUUGCAAACAUUUGGCAUGCAAAAUUUUUCUUUACCCUCCUUCCUUGUGUAGCCCAUCAAUUAAUUUAACUCUACCAUUCAAAGGGUUUCCACGGAGACUACAAGUAAAGUAGAUGAAUACUAUUCACCAAAAAAUGAAAAUUAAAUAAUUGGUUUGCAACAUUUGGGAGUGUUUGGAUACUAAAAUUAUUCCAAAUAAUAUUUCGCUUGCAUCACAAACACAUUUCUCAACCUACCUUUUUAUAUUUUCAAUCACCUUUUUAUCUCACAUACAUCAUAUCACAAAAAGUGCUACAGUAAUUAUUCAAAAUAAUAUUUCAAAUAAUACACUAUCCAAAUAAAUGUUACCUGAAGGGUUUAUGUGGAUGCAAUUGGGUGUUUCUCUGUCUCAGAUCCCAUCACCUUCUAUUAUCAGAUCUUCAACACCUUUUCCUUCAGCAAGUAGUUCUUCCUUCUCCUUAGUGCAAUGAUUGACGGGUGAUAAUACAUUUUCAUGACUCUUCUCUGGCACUCCUCGUUUGCAACUUUUUUGUUUUUUUAAUGUUAUUUUGCCCUGAUUCUGAAGUUAUUGAGUUAUAUUAACAAUUUUUGGAUGAAAAGUAAGAGAUUAAUUUUUGGAAGGAGAAUUUUAGGCUUUGAGUUUUAAUGGACAGUCAUGCCCAAUCAAUUUGGACGAGAUUUUUUUGGAACGGUGUUUUGACGGUAGUGGAAUCUAUUCGGCUAAGGCAAUUUUUUUUUAAAAUUUUUUUUUCAUGUUCAUUAAGUAAAACGUGAGCAUUUUAUCUCUAUCAAUAUGGAUGCGGGGGAGACAAAAACUCAUGAAGGAACUACUCAGGACGGUCCUUUUGAUUACCGUCUCUGCCCCAUACCCCAAGCGACUGCAAGUCCCCAGAUUACCACAUUACCACUUUCGACCGCAAGCCCAUUGUCUCGUUAGGAUUUGUUCACUGCACAUACACUGUAUUUGAUAUACUGUUUUGGAAUUUGUGCAUUGCCAAUUUGCUUCUGACGGCUAGCCAGCACUUUUUAUUUCUUGUUUCUAUUCCUUUUUCUUUUUUGCCGCUGCUGCGAAGUUCACGGCUUACGACACGCUCAAAUUGCAUUCGGUCCACCUAAGAGCGCAUGUUCACUUGCCUAGGAUCGACUAAAAAGGCACAGCCUACAAAGUAUCUUUGCCCACUUGGUUACAAUAAUAUUUAUAAAUACAAGAAAUUUCUAAGAGAGCGAUGGAGCUUAAAAGGGAUAACUUCAUAAACUUUUUCUAAGGUUUUUGAAAAUUUCAAUCAGCUUCAAUCAAGUUUCAAUAAUUACAUUCCUCACUACCAAAGUAUAACUAGAUAGCAAUCAAUAAUGUAUGUGAAAAAAAAAUACAGCGAAUACUCCCAUAUGUUGGCUCCAUCUCGUUUCUUGAAACUAUAUAGUUAAUAAUUUAUAGAAAGAAAAGUACCCCUAUUUAAGGAAAAAUUGAUGAGAUUUGAUGACUGUAUUAUUGGGAAUAUAAUUCAAUUGUGGAGGAUGAAUAUGAUUGGGACUUGAAAGUUGCUCGUUGUAAGUGAAGAUCAGUAGUGAGGUGAGAUUAAGGGUGUUUCUAUGUAUAUAUGUAUGUAUAUAUAUAUAUAUAUAUACUAGAAAAACAAAAGGCAGUUUAGGAGGUUCUUUUUUUUUUUUUUUGUGCUUUUAGUUUUCUGUAAAAGCUCUUUAUGAGUAGAUCAAGAUUUCACGAGGGCUAUAUAGUCUUUGCAUAAUACUGAGGGAGAUUAGUCUAAAUCUUCAAACUUCAGGGGAUGUGGCUGUAACUAUUUGAAAACCUCAGAGGAGGUUUUAGAAAUUAUCCCAAUUUAAUAACAUCAUAUAAAAUUAAUACGUGGGGAAGAGAUUAGUUAACUCCGAUUUUGUCCACUUGCAUUUACGUGGGGAAAUGAUUCAUGUGGUGAGAGCACCGCGACAGCUUUCCUGUCUAUAAUAUGGACAAAAAAUUAAAAAAAAAACACUCUUGAAUGAUAUUAAAUUGCGAAACAAAUUUUAGAAUUUUCUACUUUUUUGAUAAAACAUCAUAAUAUCAUUAAAAUAUAUACUAAUAGCAAAAAUUACAUCGUCAAACAAACUCAGAUAUCAAAGAAUAUAUCCGAAGAAAGAAUACUAUAAAUCUGAAAAACAAUAAAAAGUACAUUAUAAAGGUCCAAAUUUAAAAAAAAAUGAGAUAAAUAAUUGUAGUUCCAUGGAUAUUUAUGCAUGCCUCCAAUUAUUAGAUCUGUUGAUUAACUGCUUCAAGUCCUGAUAUUAUGACAAGAUCUACCGAAUAUAUCUAAGAAAUUUCAGAUUUGAGAAUUAAAAUCUGAAAAAACUCAGAUCUAAUAAAAGAAAAAUAAAAAAAUUAUCAAAAACUCUCACUAGAAAUCUCUAGAAGAGAGUAAAACUCUCACUAAAAAAUUUAAGAGAAAAGGAAACUCUCGUUGGACAAUCAUAAGGAGAGGAAAAACUUUCACUAAAAAAUCUUCGAGGAGAUUUUAUUCACAUAAAUAAAAAGAAACUAUAGAGAAGGCUCCUUCCAUGGAGAAAGAUUACGAAGAUUUGAUUUCUCUCCCAUGGGAGAAUUAAAGGAAGUUUUAGUUGAAGAGUUUUUUCUACAGAGAAUAAUUUUCUCUGAUAAAUGGGGGGUUUUUUUUUUCAUCACUUAUUUUUUCGUCAAUUAUAAAUAUGGGGUCUAGUAUCUCAUUGUUUAGCCAACUUUUCUGAGAUUGUGUGUGUGUGUGUGUGUGAAAUUCACUUUCCUUGACACAUAUGCAUACUAUCAGCAUGGCCACCGGAAAUGGAAAUCACGAGGCACAACAAACAGAGGAAAACUUUGAGCAAUUUUAUGAGACAUGGAAGAAGCAGCAGAACCAGCAUCUUCAAGAACUCAUCACUGCAUCAGAACAAGUUUCUUCCCCAACACCGCCAACAGAGGGGAUCACGGCUUGUUCCUCCUCAUCACCACCACCACCAACAGACGGGAUCACGGCAACAAAUUUGAACAACUUGGUAAAACGUGUGGUCGAACACUAUGAAGAGUACUACAAAACCAAGUCAGAAUGGGCAGACAAAAACAUAUUGCAAAUAUUGUCACCCCCAUGGACGAGUUCUCUUGAGGAUGCAUUCCUUUGGAUUGGUGGAUGGAGACCCACUAUGGCUAUCCAUCUUCUCUACUCAAAAUCAAGUUUACAGUUCGAAUCCAAAUUCAAUGAUUGGAUGCAGGGAAAAUUGACUAAGCAUGAUCUUGGCGAUUUGACAGAGAGUCAAAUCAGUCUAAUUGACGAGCUGCAGAAGAAUACAAUCAUUGAGGAGAAGGAAAUAACUGGAAAGAUGGCCAAGCAGCAGGAGAAGGCGGCCGGUGCAGACAUGGUGGAGCUGAGUCAUUUGGUGAGUGAGGCACUGCGUGAAGAAGAAAAGGGAACGAAAGCAAGGGAUCACGAAGCUGAACAGAGCCAGGCUGAGUCAAGUCUGAGUCCCAAGGAGAAAGGGUUCAAGAAGAUCUUAGAAAAGGCCGAUAAUCUUAGGCUGAGAACCCUUAAGAGUAUAAUUGACGCAUUAUCUGCAACACAGGCUGUUCACUUCUUGAUUGCUGCUGCUGAACUUCACCUGAGGCUACACGAGUGGGGAAAAGCCAGGGAUGAAGGGCAACUCUCUGGCGGAGCUGGCCAUCCCAUUUUCCGACAAGAAGCCUGAAGAUUGUAUUUGUUUGUGUCGAUUUCUGAGAGGGAGGGGUUUUUAUUUUCUUGGCAGCUUAUAGUUGUUUAGGGCUUCAAGUUUAUAAAACUACCUUAAUUACCGUUGGUUUAAAUUGUAGUAGUAGACAGGCCAUAUCUUGGUUAAUAUUCCCAUUCCAGCUUUCUUAGUCUAGGUGGUCACCAAUGGUCACCAUAAACUUUCUGCCAUCUCGAAACUUGCGGAAAAUCAUAUGAGAAGAACCAAGUGAAAAGAAUACACAAACCACUCCCAACCAACCAAUACAAGUUUUACUCGAGACAGAGGCAUACAAAAAGAAAGCCCUGAGGAGGGUUUUCCUUCACGAGUCAAUACAACUACUUUUGGGGAGAGAGAAGUUUAGCAACUGCAACAGGCUGUGUGAUUAUAUAUUAAAGAAACAGUUCAAUAAAAUUACUAGCACGCAACCAACUUACACUAAUCUCUAUGAUAAACUAAAGUAACAAACCUGCUUCACUACAGGUAUUUAUUUAAAGGCAGCAGCAGAAGGGCAUGAUGACAGAUCCUCUUUUCUAAUGCCAACAGUUUGGCGAAUGCUGCCAAAAAGUAACUCCUUUUGUUCAUUAGGUGCACCACUUCUUU
RNAcentral lists this long non-coding RNA (13958 nucleotides) under Coffea arabica (coffee). Its description in RNAcentral is "long non-coding RNA (CARA_LNC007232)". Lineage: Eukaryota; Viridiplantae; Streptophyta; Magnoliopsida; Gentianales; Rubiaceae. The record is from RNAcentral.